This 929-nucleotide ribosomal RNA is filed under the name uncultured Bacteroidota bacterium. RNAcentral describes it as "bacterial SSU rRNA". It matches the Rfam family "Bacterial small subunit ribosomal RNA", at positions 562 to 1504 of the family's 1533-position model. The record is from RNAcentral. Lineage: Bacteria; Pseudomonadati; Bacteroidota.
AAAGGGUGCGCAGGCGGGAGAUUAAGUCGGCGGUGAAAUUUGCAGCUCAACUGUAAAAGUGCUUCGAAACUGGUUUCCUUGAGUGUAGAUGAAGUAGGCGGAAUUUGUGGUGUAGCGGUGAAAUGCAUAGAUAUCACGAGGAACUCCGAUUGCGCAGGCAGCUUACUAAACUACUACUGACGCUCAGGCACGAAGGCGUGGGGAUCAAACAGGAUUAGAUACCCUGGUAGUCCACGCAGUAAACGAUGAUUACUAGCUGUUUGCGAUACAAUGUAAGCGGCUGAGCGAAAGCGUUAAGUAAUCCACCUGGGGAGUACGUUCGCAAGAAUGAAACUCAAAGGAAUUGACGGGGGCCCGCACAAGCGGAGGAACAUGUGGUUUAAUUCGAUGAUACGCGAGGAACCUUACCCGGGCUUGAAAUGCAUCUGACCGGCCUUGAAAGAGGCUUUCCCUUCGGGGCAGAUGUGUAGGUGCUGCAUGGUUGUCGUCAGCUCGUGCCGUGAGGUGUCGGCUUAAGUGCCAUAACGAGCGCAACCCUCAUCAUUAGUUACCAUCAGGUCAAGCUGGGGACUCUAAUGAGACUGCCAUCGUAAGAUGUGAGGAAGGUGGGGAUGACGUCAAAUCAGCACGGCCCUUACGUCCGGGGCGACACACGUGUUACAAUGGGUGGUACAAAGGGCAGCUACAUGGCGACAUGAUGCUAAUCUCCAAAACCACUCUCAGUUCGGAUCGGAGUCUGCAACUCGACUCCGUGAAGCUGGAUUCGCUAGUAAUCGCGCAUCAGCCUCGGCGCGGUGAAUACGUUCCCGGGCCUUGUACACACCGCCCGUCAAGCCAUGGAAGCUGGGGGUACCUGAAGUUCGUAACCGUUAAGGAGCGACCUAGGGUAAAACUAGUGACUGGGGCUAAGUCGUAACAAGGUAACCGUA